RNAcentral lists this ribosomal RNA (468 nucleotides) under uncultured bacterium. RNAcentral's name for it is "partial 16S ribosomal RNA". It matches the Rfam family "Bacterial small subunit ribosomal RNA", at positions 28 to 507 of the family's 1533-position model. The record is from RNAcentral.
GACGAACGCUGGCGGCGUGCUUAACACAUGCAAGUCGAACGGAAAGGCCCUGCUUUUGUGGGGUGCUCGAGUGGCGAACGGGUGAGUAACACGUGAGUAACCUGCCCCUGACUUUGGGAUAACUUCAGGAAACUGGGGCUAAUACCGGAUAGGAGCUCCUGCUGCAUGGUGGGGGUUGGAAAGUUUCGGCGGUUGGGGAUGGACUCGCGGCUUAUCGGCUUGUUGGUGGGGUAGUGGCUUACCAAGGCUUUGACGGGUAGCCGGCCUGAGAGGGUGACCGGCCACAUUGGGACUGAGAUACGGCCCAGACUCCUACGGGAGGCAGCAGUGGGGAAUAUUGCACAGUGGGCGGAAGCCUGAUGCGGCAACGCCGCGUGCGGGAUGACGGCCUUCGGGUUGUAAACCGCUUUCGCCUGUGACGAAGCGUGAGUGACGGUAAUGGGUAAAGAAGCACCGGCUAACUACGUG